GGAAUAUUGGGCAAUGGGGGAAACCCUGACCCAGCAACGCCGCGUGAGGGAAGAAGGUUUUCGGAUCGUAAACCUCUGUCCUUGGUGAAGAGGAAGAGACGGUAGCCAAGGAGGAAGCCCCGGCUAACUACGUGCCAGCAGCCGCGGUAAUACGUAGGGGGCGAGCGUUGUCCGGAAUGAUUGGGCGUAAAGGGCGCGUAGGCGGCCCGGUAAGUCUGGAGUGAAAGUCCUGCUUUUAAGGUGGGAAUUGCUUUGGAUACUGUCGGGCUUGAGUGCAGGAGAGGUAAGUGGAAUUCCCAGUGUAGCGGUGAAAUGCGUAGAGAUUGGGAGGAACACCAGUGGCGAAGGCGGCUUUCUGGACUGUGCCUGACGCUGAGGCUCGAAAGCCAGGGGAGCGAACG
RNAcentral lists this ribosomal RNA (401 nucleotides) under uncultured bacterium. RNAcentral's name for it is "bacterial SSU rRNA". It matches the Rfam family "Bacterial small subunit ribosomal RNA", at positions 358 to 774 of the family's 1533-position model. The record is from RNAcentral.